UCCGUAGGUGAACCUGCGGAAGGAUCAUUAUCGAGUUUUGAACGGGUUGUAGCUGGCCUCUGACGGGGCAUGUGCACGCCUGGCUCAUCCACUCUUAACCUCUGUGCACUUUAUGUAAGAGAAAAAAAUGGUGGAAGCUUCCAGGAUCUCGUGAGAGGUCCUCGGUUGAACAAGCCGUUUUUCUUUCUUAUGUUUUACUACAAACGCUUCAGUUAUAGAAUGUCAACUGUGUAUAACACAUUUAUAUACAACUUUCAGCAACGGAUCUCUUGGCUCUCGCAUCGAUGAAGAACGCAGCGAAAUGCGAUAAGUAAUGUGAAUUGCAGAAUUCAGUGAAUCAUCGAAUCUUUGAACGCACCUUGCACUCCUUGGUAUUCCGAGGAGUAUGCCUGUUUGAGUCUCAUGGUAUUCUCAACCCCUAAAUUUUUGUAAUGAAGGUUUAGCGGGCUUGGACUUGGAGGCUGUGUCGGCCCUUGUCGGUCGACUCCUCUGAAAUGCAUUAGCGUGAAUCUUACGGAUCGCCUUCAGUGUGAUAAUUAUCUGCGCUGUGGUGUUGAAGUAUUUAUGGUGUUCAUGCUUCGAACCGUCUCCUUGCCGAGACAAUCAUUUGACAAUCUGAGCUCAAAUCAGGUAGGACUACCCGCUGAACUUAAGCAUAUCAAUAAGCGGAGGAAAGGA
RNAcentral lists this ribosomal RNA (678 nucleotides) under uncultured fungus. RNAcentral's name for it is "eukaryotic LSU rRNA". The stretch from base 250 to 403 matches the Rfam family "5.8S ribosomal RNA". Lineage: Eukaryota; Fungi. The record is from RNAcentral.